CCCUUAGACGUUCUGGGCCGCACGCGCGCUACACUGACACAGGCAACGAGCUUUCCUUUACCGAAAGGUAUGGGUAAUCUUUUGAAACUGUGUCGUGCUGGGGAUAGAUCCUUGCAAUUUUUGAUCUUAAACGAGGAAUUCCUAAUAAGCGCGAGUCAUCAACUCGCGUUGAUUACGUCCCUGCCCUUUGUACACACCGCCCGUCGCUACUACCGAUUGAAUGGCUUAGUGAGGCCUCAGGAUCCGCGCUUAAUGUGUGGAGAAUUUGGACAAACUACGUCAUUUAGAGGAAGUAAAAGUCGUAACA
RNAcentral lists this ribosomal RNA (307 nucleotides) under uncultured eukaryote. RNAcentral describes it as "partial 18S ribosomal RNA". It matches the Rfam family "Eukaryotic small subunit ribosomal RNA", at positions 1470 to 1796 of the family's 1831-position model. The record is from RNAcentral.